AAGACGAUGACGUUGAUAGGUCGGGUGUGUAAGCGUAGCGAUACGUUGAGCUAACCGAUACUAAUGAACCGUGAGGCUUAACCUU
RNAcentral lists this ribosomal RNA (85 nucleotides) under Citrobacter freundii. Its description in RNAcentral is "partial 23S ribosomal RNA". It matches the Rfam family "Bacterial large subunit ribosomal RNA", at positions 2841 to 2925 of the family's 2925-position model. RNAcentral also lists the same sequence under 3 other names. Lineage: Bacteria; Pseudomonadati; Pseudomonadota; Gammaproteobacteria; Enterobacterales; Enterobacteriaceae. The record is from RNAcentral.